Molecule: long non-coding RNA, 1956 nt
Organism: Piliocolobus tephrosceles (Ugandan red Colobus)
Lineage: Eukaryota; Metazoa; Chordata; Mammalia; Primates; Cercopithecidae
Source: Ensembl
GAUUUUAAAUAUACAAUGUGAGUGUAUAUAUGUGUAUAUAUAUUAAAAAAAAAUAUAUAUAUAUAUAUAUAUAUAGACUUUCAAUUUUUUUGUUAUAUUUUUUUUUUACUUUAUAUAUUUGUUUAAAUUAAAAAAUGUAAAAUUUGAAAAAUGUUAUUUAAAAUAAACACUUUAUAGAUGUGCGAAGUCUCAUUUAACUUGAGAAAAUAAAAUUGGAAUUAAAUUUUGUACUUCAUUUCAAUGUUUUUACUGAUAAAAAAAAUAAAACAAUAAAAGAUGAGACUGAUAUGUGUAGAUGUCUAUACGUUUGAUUGCUCAUUUGUAUGUAUGUUUAUAUAUAUAUAUAUAUAUAUAUAUAUUUUUUUUUUUUUUUUUUUUUUUUUUUUUUUUAAAUUAUAAUUUUACUAUAUAAAUAAUAAAAAGAAAAUUUUAUUUAAAUAUAAUUAAAUUUACAGUAAUUACAUUGUAAGGCAAUAUAGUCUAAUAGUAAUGACAAAAAAAAAAAAAAAUAUACAUAUAUAUAAUAUAUACAUAAGAUAUAUGGUGAAUAUAUUACAAUUUGUAAUGUUUCAUUUUUAACGUACAAUAACGAAUUUUUGCAUAAUGAAUAAGAAAAAGACAGUGGGUAAAAAAAAAAUAAAUCCCCUUAAAGCAAGAAAUAACGAAUUAAAAAAAUUAACUAACGCUGAGAUAAAAAAUUUAGUGCAAACUAAAAAAGAAGAAUUGAUUAGAACAGUUCAAAAGAAGCAUUUGUUGGAAAAAAAACUAGAAGACAAAUAUGGCGAAUUAGAAUCUUUUAAAAAAGAUUACAGCGAAAUAAAAAAUAAAAUAGAUUUAAUUAGUGGAGAAAGUGAAAGAUAUAAUUUAAAAUCCAAAAACGAAACAAUAGCAAUAAAACAUAAAUCAGUUUUUUAUAGUUUUCAGAAUGAAGAACAAGUUAAAAAAUUAGAAAAAGAAAAAGAGAAUCUUAAAAUAUUAAUUGAUGAAAAACAUGAACAUACAAUGAACGUUUUAAUGAAUUGGUUAGAACAACAAAGAAUAAAUUUAGACAAUAUAAAAAAUAAAAAUUUCGAAGAAAUCAAUAAGUUAUCUACAUUAUUCAACUCGAAAAUAAAAAACUUAGAAGAAUUGUUUACCAAAGAAUUAGAACAAUAUAACAGUGAACAAAAAGAAGAAAUGGAAGAAAUGGUAGAGAAUUAUAAUAUCAUACAAAGAAAUGAAAUAAAUUAUUUAAAAAAUUUGUACAACGAUUACAUUAAUAAUGUUAAUACAAUUCAUACAGAAGUUUUGCAAAAUUAUAAAAAAUAUUACAUUGAUCAAAUUAAAGAAAAUAUUAGUAAAAUAAAAUUAUUAAAACAAAAAAUAAAUGAAAUUGAAAGUAAUGAUAAAGAGAUUAAAAAAGAACUGAACAUUCACAACGAUAAAAAUAGUUCUAUAUUGGAAAAUAUAAACAAGUUGGAAAUCAAAAGGGAAAACAUCGUUAAGGAACUUAAAUUUUACUCAAAGGAUUUUCUACUAUAUAAGAACUUAGAACUUAUUUACAAUGAAAGCGAACUAUAUAUAAAAAAUUUAAAACAAUUUUCACAGAGGUGCACUGAAAAAAUUGUAAAAAUUGAGAAGAGCUUAAAAGAUGUAUCAGAGGUUAAAGACAAUAAAUUUGAUUACUAUUUUGAAAAUAUAAAAAAUAAAAAUAUUGCUUUGAAAAAAGAAGCAGCCAAUCUUGAUUAUAAUUUAGAAAGUUUAAAUAAUGAAUUAAAAGAGUACAUAAAUAAACAAAACAUAACAAAAGAAAAUCAACAAGCUGUUCAAAAAGGAAUAGAUUUUUGUGUAAAUAAUUAUUACAACGAAUUUGAUCAUCUGAUAUAUACUAAAAGAAAAAUAAAAAAAAAAAUAAAUGAUACUAUAAAUAUUUACGAGAAAAGAAUAAAGGAUGUUAAUAUAAAAAAAAGUAGUUAA